CACGCAUGGGUUUACAUGUCGGGGAAAUAACCUCACACAUACACACACAGACCAGCAGCACCCCAUCAGGAGGAGCUACACAACAAUCUUUGGCGUCGUUCUCGGUGCAGCCGGUCAGCCAGACACAAGUGGAGGAGGACAGGGAGCCGGUGGGUGGAGGAGAGACUCAGGAAGAACGGUUUCGUUAACGGAGGAGGCGAGGGAGCAACACCCCCUCCCCCCUUCAUACCGCAUCACGUCAGUCAAUCAAGCCGAAGAGUCUGUUGGUGGUUGUGGCCAGGAGGCGAGGAUGUGACGUCUGUCUGUCUCCUGUGCUGUUAUUGUUCAGUGGGAUUUCCUCUUCAUGUCUCCACCCUGGCUUUGGUUCGCAUCUGCGUGGAGAGGGCACAUUUUUAAACAGCUGGACGAUGAAACAGAUCCAGCAACCUGUGGCACCAGUUCACUGAAGGGCACCUAAAUGCACUGUUUCUCAUAUUCUGUCAUAUGUGCACUGUUAAACCGGGGGCAGUGCGUCUACAAGCAAUCCCAAAAGGUUCUAAACACUUAAUUUCAGAUAGUUUUUCUUGGAGUCGCCCCCUGCUGGUUAUUAAAAAGAAUGUUGGUUUCAGGCACCUUUGUUUCACUUUAGGAUCGAGAAAGAUGUGAACAGACAAUCGGGUGGAAAACACAAAGUGAAACAAAGAUUUUUGAUUUAUUUAAACAAAAUCCAAUGUGGAAAUACAGAGAUUGGCAGUAACAGAUGAUAAUAUUAGUCCUUUUCCUUACAGAAAGAUUAUAUAUUACUAAAAUCUCAGGAAGGACCAUCCUUAAGGUCAAUCUGAGGUCAUUAAAAUACUCGCUAGAAAGCCUGAGUUGAACUGGUGCAACAGGCUGCAGCAGAACGACGAAAAACAUUGUUUUAUGAAACAUGAAGGGCCGAGUGUGUGGGUGGUUCUUUGACUGAAAAUGUAAAAUAUUAAGCAUCUUUAAUUCUGGCAAACUGAGGUACACAGACGUCUGGCAAAUUCUGAAAUUUUGGGUCAAUAUGAUGUUUAAAAUGAAAAUCUGGCUGAAAGG
This is a non-coding RNA of Neolamprologus brichardi, 1056 nucleotides long. The record is from RefSeq and is a predicted model, not a curated record. Lineage: Eukaryota; Metazoa; Chordata; Actinopteri; Cichliformes; Cichlidae.